This is a long non-coding RNA of Alosa sapidissima (American shad), 101 nucleotides long. RefSeq lists it as uncharacterized. Lineage: Eukaryota; Metazoa; Chordata; Actinopteri; Clupeiformes; Clupeidae. The transcript has 4 exons. The record is from RefSeq and is a predicted model, not a curated record.
UGGUUUGCCUGCCAACAGGAAAUUCAACAGCCCUGCUUCAGCUGCCUGUGGGCUGCCGUGAUAAAGGCCUAUUGCGUGUUCAGAUAGAUAUUCAGUAUGUG